UUGACCUCGGAUCAGGUAGGGAUACCCGCUGAACUUAAGCAUAUCAAUAAGCGGAGGAAAAGAAACCAACAGGGAUUGCCCUAGUAACGGCGAGUGAAGCGGCAAGAGCUCAAAUUUGAAAUCUGGCUCUUUCAGGGUCCGAGUUGUAAUUUGUAGAGGGCGCUUUGGCGUCGGCUACGGCCUAAGUUCCUUGGAACAGGACGUCACAGAGGGUGAGAACCCCGUACGUGGCCGCUGGCCUUCGCCGUGUAAAGCCCCUUCGACGAGUCGAGUUGUUUGGGAAUGCAGCUCUAAAUGGGAGGUAAAUUUCUUCUAAAGCUAAAUACUGGCCAGAGACCGAUAGCGCACAAGUAGAGUGAUCGAAAGAUGAAAAGCACUUUGGAAAGAGAGUCAAAAAGCACGUGAAAUUGUUGAAAGGGAAGCGCUUGCAGCCAGACUUGCCUGUAGUUGCUCAUCCGAGCUCCCGCUCGGUGCACUCUUCUGCGGGCAGGCCAGCAUCAGUCCGGGCGGUCGGAUAAAGGCCUCGGGAAUGUAGCUCCCCUCGGGGAGUGUUAUAGCCCGGGGUGCCAUGCGACCAGCCUGGACUGAGGUCCGCGCAUCUGCUAGGAUGCUGGCGUAAUGGCUGUAAGCGGCCCGUCUUGAAACACGGACCAAGGAGUCUAACAUCUAUGCGAGUGUUUGGGUGUCAAGCCCGGGCGCGCAAUGAAAGUGAACGGAGGUGGGAACCCCUCGGGGCGCACCAUCGACCGAUCCUGAUGUCUUCGGAUGGAUUUGAGUAAGAGCAUAGCUGUUGGGACCCGAAAGAUGGUGAACUAUGCCUGAAUAGGGUGAAGCCAGAGGAAACUCUGGUGGAGGCUCGCAGCGGUUCUGACGUGCAAAUCGAUCGUCAAAUUUGGGCAUAGGGGCGAAAGACUAAUCGAACUAUCUAGUAGCUGGUUCCUGCCGAAGUUUCCCCUCAGGAA
This 962-nucleotide ribosomal RNA is filed under the name Atrocalyx nordicus. Its description in RNAcentral is "partial large subunit ribosomal RNA". It matches the Rfam family "Eukaryotic large subunit ribosomal RNA", at positions 1 to 979 of the family's 3401-position model. Lineage: Eukaryota; Fungi; Ascomycota; Dothideomycetes; Pleosporales; Lophiotremataceae. The record is from RNAcentral.